AACGAACGCUGGCGGCAUGCCUAACACAUGCAAGUCGAACGAGACCUUCGGGUCUUGUGGCGCACGGGUGCGUAACGCGUGGGAACCUGCCCUUAGGUUCGGAAUAACUCCCCGAAAGGGGUGCUAAUACCGGAUAAUGUCUUCGGACCAAAGAUUUAUCGCCUUUGGAUGGGCCCGCGUUGGAUUAGCUAGUUGGUAGUGUAAAAGCCUACCAAGGCGACGAUCCAUAGCUGGUCUGAGAGGAUGAUCAGCCACACUGGGACGGAGACACGGCCCAGACUCCUACGGGAGGCAGCAGUAGGGAAUAGUGGAAAAGGGGCGAAAGCGUGAUCCAGCAAUGCCGCGUGAGUGAUGAAGGCCUUAGGGUUGUAAAGCUCUUUUACCCGGGAUGAUAAUGACAGUACCGGGAGAAGAAGCUCCGGCUAACUCCGUG
RNAcentral lists this ribosomal RNA (433 nucleotides) under uncultured bacterium. Its description in RNAcentral is "partial 16S ribosomal RNA". It matches the Rfam family "Bacterial small subunit ribosomal RNA", at positions 29 to 507 of the family's 1533-position model. The record is from RNAcentral.